Molecule: long non-coding RNA, 1972 nt
Organism: Homo sapiens (human)
Lineage: Eukaryota; Metazoa; Chordata; Mammalia; Primates; Hominidae
Gene: CERNA1
Product: competing endogenous lncRNA 1 for miR-4707-5p and miR-4767
Source: Ensembl
GGGAUUCCAACUCGGGACUCCCCGCUUCUGGGGAGACCGGUGAGGCCCCCGCGACAUGGCCCUCCCAUCCCCAAGCCUCUCGUGCAGAUCUCCGCUCUGUGGGACUUGAUUGCGGGCUGCGGGCCCGUGGCUCCUGCAGGCAGAGAGAGGACGGGAGAGGAGACGGCUACGAGGCUUGGCCGCAGGUAGCUACGGUGCUCCCCCAACAAGGAACCGGAAACCCUCUUCGUUUGUUGAUCUAAAUAUACAAAAAUAAAACUAGUUGCUGGGUUCUCAGACGGAGUCUCUGCGGCAUUAGGAGGCCCACCCUUAUUUUCUCUUUUCUUCACGCAGGAAUCAGGUCCCUGGCCUGGGGGCGGCAAAAGGAGAUGGCGGUGGGUCAAGUGGGCGCGCAGGCUCAGACCUGGGGCUUCUGAGCCCACGCCCAGGCAUCUCGGACCUCUCACUUCUGAGGCCACCUCCUGCCCUUUAGAAUGAAGGGCUGGCACAGUUCUGCCAGGAUGCACGUUUAGCGACUUCUGUCAGACUGAAGCAUCCCCUCUCCGCAAGCGCCUGAAGUGUGAGAGGCACUGUUCUAAGUGCUUUAAUUUGCACUUGUUUAAUCCUCACAGGAGUCAACUUGAAUGGGCACACUUAUUCCCACUUUACAGAAGAGGAAACUGGGGCACAGAAAGACUGAGUAAUUGCUCAGGGGGCAUGCUCCAAGAAAGAGGGAGAGACAGGAUUUGGACCCAGACAGGCUGGCUCCCUAGUGCUCUGGACUUUGGUGUGGAUGAUCCAACUCAAGCCUUCUCCUUUUUCCCUCCUAUGUGAUCUUGCAUGCGUUUGUGCAGAGAAUGAGAAGGCAGAUCAAAGUUACAGAUGCUGCGAGAACAUCGCCAAGCAGAAUCUUGGGUGCUGUCCCCACCUCUCUGUACCUGCUCCCUCCCAGAGAAGCCAGCCUCCACUUGCUGUCCCGGGCCUUCUCUAUCUGAGAAAAGUUGAAGGAGCACAUGUCCUUGCGCAGGAAGAGGCUGUUCAGCGUGACCGCCCCGAUCAAGAAGAAGAGCUGCUUCACCGCCUGCCUCACAAGCUCGGGGUCCAGGCCGUUCUGGCACAUGGUGGUGUAAAAGUAGCUCAGCUGUUGCAGGACGGAGGUCAUGGUGUAGCCGUCCGUGUCGUCUAUGCUAGAGGAGCGCUUCCGGAAGCCUGUGGGCUUCAGGCCGGAAAUGCCCUGCAGGCUCUCAUACUCCAGCAUUCCCGGAACUGCGGAGAGACAGGGAGGCUGUGCUGACACGCCAGGAGACACACGCGGAACGUUCCCGACGCUCUUCGGUUUGUUUCAGGAGAUGGGACAUUUUUCUACAAGAGUCAGUGGAUGUACUUAUGAUAGAGAAAGCAAAAGAAUCAAGGGUUUGGGACACCAGGGUGUGUGUCAGGGUUAGGGAUGGACGGCUGUUUCCAGCGGGGCUGCAGCUCCUCUUGUAGGUUUGAAGCAGCACGUUUUUCAGCUUCACAGGAAAGAAAGCUGCUUAGCAUGACAAAUCAUGGCCUGGGCAUUAAAGCCUAAAGUAUUUAAAUUUCAGGAAAUUAAGGAAAGUAUACAAGAAUUCGAAUGGGGCUUUAGGAUUUCAAAAAUACUUGGCUACGCCAAGAAGUAGAAGUACCACAUAAAUAGCAGUAGUAGAAGUUUCCCCAAGUUUUUUCCUUCAGGAUAAAUCAUCCUUAUAUAAAGAAAACUACCAACAGCGUACUAUUAUUUAUGGAAUCAUUAUAAGCAAGCAAAGAAUUAAAAGGCAGAUAUCUACAUGAUUAUAUUUCCUUGGCUUUUUAAACAAUGUUACACAUAAUCACACAUUACACAUACCAAGUUUAUGUUUUAAAAAGUCUUAAUGUUACUAUAAAUAUUUUUUGGUCAUCCAUUCUCUUCUUACCUAUUAUCGGUUGGAUAUUCUUUUCCAUUAUGAUAAUAAAUUGAUGAUAUAUUCGUAUA